AGUGAACGCUGGCGGUAGGCCUAACACAUGCAAGUCGAACGGCAGCACAGUAAGAGCUUGCUCUUACGGGUGGCGAGUGGCGGACGGGUGAGGAAUACAUCGGAAUCUACUUUUUCGUGGGGGAUAACGUAGGGAAACUUACGCUAAUACCGCAUACGACCUACGGGUGAAAGCAGGGGAUCUUCGGACCUUGCGCGAUUGAAUGAGCCGAUGUCGGAUUAGCUAGUUGGCGGGGUAAAGGCCCACCAAGGCGACGAUCCGUAGCUGGUCUGAGAGGAUGAACCGCCACACUGGAACUGAGACACGGUCCAGACUCCUACGGGAGGCAGCAGUGGGGAAUAUUGGACAAUGGGCGCAAGCCUGAUCCAGCCAUACUGCGUGGGUGAAGAAGGCCUUCGGGUUGUAAAGCCCUUUUGUUGGGAAAGAAAAGCAGCAGGUUAAUACCCCGCUGUUCUGACGGUACCCAAAGAAUAAGCACCGGCUAACUUCGUG
Molecule: ribosomal RNA, 492 nt
Filed under: uncultured bacterium
Lineage: Bacteria
Description: partial 16S ribosomal RNA
Rfam family: Bacterial small subunit ribosomal RNA
Source: RNAcentral